CCCUGGGCUGUAGUACGGGAGCCUCGGCAGUCUCGGGCGAGAGUUUCGGGAGAGGGUCCCGAGAUCCCGCCUUGUGGGGUUCGGAACCCGGCCCUGGCCCGCGACUCGGACCCACCCCGAGCAGGGCCCCGGUGCGGCCGCGGUGCCCCCGCUUUCAGAGCCCCGCCGCGCGCGGAACCGCAGGAGCAGGACGUCCACCAGCGGUUUGCGAACGGCGGGCUCGGGAUUCUAGGCUUCUCCUAUUGUGACUAUUUGUGGUUUGUAAGUUUUUUUCUAGUGAACACUGUGGUGCUUUUUCAUUAAGAGCGGCGAUUUUUUCAAGGCGCCUGCAGAAGUUGAGCGGCCCGGCCCCGCAGUGUGAGCGGCCCCUCUCCAGACUGCAGGACUGCGCGUUCCUGGGCCCGGGACCCGGCUCCUCCUCCCUCGGCUCCCCGGCCGGCCCCGCCCCGUCCCCGCCCAUGCCCCGCCCUCCACUCCUGACCCCGCCCCUCCCCCGGCUGCGGCGAAAAUCCGGAGUGGCGGAUUGCCCUCUGCUCCGCGGGAGCCGGCUGUGGGCUCCUGCAGGAGCGGUGCCGGGGGUGCGGCUGACGCCGCUCCGCGCUCCCUCUUCUCACUCUGUCCUGGGCGAGCCACGCGGGGCAGCGCCGCGACCCCAGCCGCCGGCCCGGCCUCAGAAGCGGGUCAGGACCCGACUGAGCAUGCUCGCCCUCCAGCGCAGCGUGGCUCGACCAGGUGGACGCUGCCGGGACCCGGGGUCGGACCGCGCGGGGGAGGCGCAGGCAGUUCAGUCUCUGAGACUCCGCUUCGCAUUCUCCCCAGAACCUCGCUCCACCUCGGAUGCGCUUGAGGUGGGCAUAGGAAUUUGCUUCGAAGCCUGUAACGGAAGAGAAGACGGGAAUGGAGGGCUUACAGGGAAGAGAUUUCACAGGUUCUAGAUGAAUAAACUCAACCCAGACAGAAGCUUUCAGAGAGAUACCUGUGGAUGGGCAGAGCAUUGGCUGGUUUCAGAGGUGUUACCAUCAUCUUUGUAUGUAUUAUCCAGUGUGGGCUUGUGCUGGAGAAUCUGGGGCAACUGGAUGAGCUCCAGGUAAGGUGACUACUUGCUUUUUUGUGUGUUGAACCACCCUGGACUUUUCCUGUGACCUGUUGGCACCUCUGUCCUGGGUGCAGCCACCUGGGUGGGGGUGGGAAGGAAUGUGCAGAGGCUCUGACCUGACCCCUUCCUGGAGGAGGCCGGGAAGAGCUGGGGACCCUCAUUAGGCUGCUUCCCUGCUCCUGGGAGCCUGAAGGGGCACAGUAAGGAGAAGAGUGGGGAGGAAUGGAAGGACCUUGUGACCUGCUGGCCAGGGAGGGCAAAACUUCUUCAAAAGUCUGAGUCAGCAUUGGGAAAGUAUUCUGUUCCUCGUUCUGGGUGUAGAUGGAGUGCUGAUGCUGGCCCUUUGAGGGCUGUGUAUGUACGUGUGUGGUCUAACCAGUUAGCAGCAGCUGAAACAGCAGGGCAGAAGGCUGCUUGCAGCCCACACAGGGCUGAGGACCCAGCUUGGGGGUCACACUCUUCCUGGACCACCCUCUGAGGUCACCCUCCAGCCCAGUCUCCCGCCCUCUGGCUUUCAUUCUGGACGGUGAAGUGGGUUUAGGGAUGUGGGCUGUUGGCAUGAGGAAGGAUGAAUCUGGAACCCCAUACCCCCCACCCCGUGUGUGUAGGGCUUUCCUGUGAGCAGGGUGGGUGGGAAGUUGCCGGGAAGGUGAAGGGCCUGGAAGGUGCUGUCUGGUCAGUGGGAUGAGCCCUGGGGGCCCUUUGUGAAAACCUGACUCCACAGCUGCAUGUCCCCCAGUUUUUGAGGUUAUGACUGGUGUGCAGCUGGCCUUUUGUUCUCUGAGUUUAUAAUCUUGGGAGGGAGGGAGGCCAAAUGUCCACUUUCCCACCGCGGGAUGGAGAAGGUCAGGGACUGACCUUGGUGAUGAAACUAACACUCAUGUGGCUGGUUGGCAGGUGGAAAACAGAGAUGUCAAAACGGCCUCCAGGAGUGCAGCCAUGGAUGAGGCCGGGCCAAAUGGGGGGACCUGGCCACUUUAUUUGCUGCUUCAAAGCCAGGAGCUCUGCCCAGGGCCCAGGGGAGCAUUAGCACCUCACUGACUGGGGCAGGCACUGGAACCCCUGCAUGGUGACAUAAAGCGGACACAGGGCUCCUGCAAGACAAAGACUAUGGGAGCCCAGGGCAGCCCAGCUGGGGGCAGAGGCUGAGGUGGAGGAGGGGAGUAUGAGCCCUUUGUGGGGGGCCUUGCAGAGGUCAGAGGGGGAGAGUAGAUACCCACCUCUCCAAAGAGGCAGAGCAGCUUUUCCGUGGAGAUUUGAAGGACUGGGAGGCUCAGAGGCCCAGCCAUACAUGGGGUAGGUACUGGCUUCCUCUUGGGACUCUGCUGGGCGAGCCGAGGCUCCAGGGGGCUGUGGCCCAUCCAUAGCCCUGCCUGGGGGGGUCCCUGGGCAUGUACACAAGAGACUUGGUACAAAUGUGCCAACCUUCUUUUCCCUGAUCAUGAUAGUUUCUACCGUUGUUACCACAGGGACAUUUGUGCGGCUUGUUCUCCAUCAUGGAGUCCAGGGAGAAGUGCAGCUGAGACCUGCUGAGAAGCGUGGUGAUGCUGGGAACUUCAAGAGCAACCAGGCCUGGCUUGCCAGCGAGCCUGUUCCAGCUCUGCAUCUCUCCAGCUUCCUAAAUCACCACCACCACCUGCCCUAGGAGUGGAGCCCUUGGGUUGGAGCCAGCUGAUUGGAUGUGAGCUCUAAGGUUACAGUUUCCCCCUACCACACGAAUGACUUUUUCAGGUUCUCUCUUGCUUGCAUUUGCCUUCUGUACAUUCGUCCAUCUCUACUCACAUGUAACUUGUGAAAGGCGCAUGUAAUGAUGUGAGCAAGCAGGUAAGUGAGGAACAUGCCCAGAGCCAGUCCAUCUGCAAGGACAAGUAUGCGCACUUCUUACAGCUCCUGGGCUCAUCAGCCUAUGGUCUUCUGUGGGUUCCUGACACACAGUCCUUAGGAACGUGUUUCUUGGCUGCUUGUUAUCUUGGUUAAGCAGGACUUGCACUUGAUUCAUGAAUGAACAUGAUUCUAGCUGACCGUGUAUGCAAUUUUCUCCUUCUGAGAACGCGACUGAUGGCUUCAUGAGUUUGUACUUUGGGCUCUCGUGAAUUCUCGGAGGGAGGGAAAGAGGGUCUCCUCAUAACGAGUGGUAACCUGCCAGCGCUGGUGAGUGGGCCUGAAACCUACUGAUGGAGGGGACAAAACUGAACUCCAACUUGGUCUCCUCAUUUGUCUGUAGAAGCCCAGCAACUUCUUUCAAUGGUACCAUGACUUUCCAAGUGAUACUGGUUUUUGAAACACUGAAGACGACAUCAAGUAAUGUCGUAACUCAAAAGAGGAACAUAAAAAAGGCCUCGAUCUCUAGUGUUACCUAGAGAGACUGUUGUACUCACCAUGUCCAUCUGCUCCGGAGACGCUAAAGAGAAGGAUGCUCGGAAGUAGGGGCAAGGAGCUGAACUGUCAAAGUAGAAAUGGUAUCCUGGAAGCACGAAAAUCUGAGAGAGUAUAUGGAGAAGAGAUGAUGAGCCAUUAAAGGAAAACGAAAGAAAGUACAGGUGAAUGUCAUCGGGGAAGGGGCGGCCUCUUUAAGUUUAAGAGCAAUUAAAGAACUCGCAAGCGAAAACGCAACUUCAUAAAAAUCCCGCAUAGCGUACAACAAACACACUAAAAGCAUAGAAAGUGGAAGAGUGUUUACAGUAAAAACAGAAAUGCUACCUCUUCUCCACAUGGAAUAAAGACUGCAUAGGAACAGGAAAAACACAAAUUCUAGCUUGAAUGGACAAAGAACAGCUUGUACGAGCAAGAGGCAAGGUAAUAAACAAGAAUAAAUGUUUCCUGGAACCAGAAAGUAAUUUCAAACAAGGAGAAACCCUUGUUAAGCUGUCCAAUUUGGAGGUGACCUUCAAGCUGGGACCUGAGAGGUAAGAUGUGUCCAGACACCAGCAGGGGGAGCACUUUAGGAAGAAGUUCCAUGCGCCCCAGUGUUCACUGCAGCACAAUUUACAAUAGACAACACAUGGAAGUAACCUAAAUGUCUAUCAGCAGAUGAGUGCAUAAAGAGGAUGUGCUACAUGGAUACAGUGGAAUGUGACUCAGCCGUAAAAUAAUGAAUUCCUGCCAUUUGUGGUAACAUGGAUGGACCUGGAGGGUAUUAUAUUGAGUGAAAUAUGUCAGAGAAAGAAAAAGCCCACAUGCUAUCAUUGAUAUGCAGAAUCUAAAAGAUAAAGUGAAGAACUAUAUUAACAAGAAAACGACUCACAGAGAACAAAUUA
Phacochoerus africanus (Common warthog) is the source of this 4353-nucleotide long non-coding RNA. RefSeq lists it as uncharacterized. The record is from RefSeq and is a predicted model, not a curated record. The transcript has 7 exons. NCBI's taxonomy places the organism in Eukaryota, Metazoa, Chordata, Mammalia, Artiodactyla, Suidae.